AGUGGCGGACGGGUGAGUAACGCGUAAGAAUCUAACUUCAGGACGGGGACAACAGUUGGAAACGACCGCUAAUACCCGAUGUGCCGCGAGGUGAAACCUAAUUGGCCUGAAGAAGAGCUUGCGUCUGAUUAGCUAGUUGGUGGGGUAAAAGCCUACCAAGGCGACGAUCAGUAGCUGGUCUGAGAGGAUGAGCAGCCACACUGGGACUGAGACACGGCCCAGACUCCUACGGGAGGCAGCAGUGGGGAAUUUUCCGCAAUGGGCGAAAGCCUGACGGAGCAACGCCGCGUGAGGGAGGAAGGUCUUUGGAUUGUAAACCUCUUUUCUCAAGGAAGAAGUUCUGACGGUACUUGAGGAAUCAGCCUCGGCUAACUCCGUGCCAGCAGCCGCGGUAAUACGGGGGAGGCAAGCGUUAUCCGGAAUUAUUGGGCGUAAAGCGUCCGCAGGUGGUCAGCCAAGUCUGCCGUCAAAUCAGGUUGCUUAACGACCUAAAGGCGGUGGAAACUGGCAGACUAGAGAGCAGUAGGGGUAGCAGGAAUUCCCAGUGUAGCGGUGAAAUGCGUAGAGAUUGGGAAGAACAUCGGUGGCGAAAGCGUGCUACUGGGCUGUAUCUGACACUCAGGGACGAAAGCUAGGGGAGCGAAAGGGAUUAGAUACCCCUGUAGUCCUAGCCGUAAACGAUGGAUACUAGGCGUGGCUU
This 700-nucleotide ribosomal RNA is filed under the name uncultured bacterium. RNAcentral's name for it is "bacterial SSU rRNA". It matches the Rfam family "Bacterial small subunit ribosomal RNA", at positions 94 to 828 of the family's 1533-position model. The record is from RNAcentral.